GCGUCGAGCGGCGAACGGGUGAGUAACGCGUAGGAAUCUGCCUGAUAGUGGGGGAUAGCCCGGGGAAACCCGGAUUAAUACCGCAUACGCCCUAAGGGGGAAAGGCCGGGAUCUUCGGACCGGUCACUAUUGGAGGAGCCUGCGUAGGAUUAGCUAGUUGGUGAGGUAAAAGCUUACCAAGGCGACAAUCAAUAGCUGAUUUGAGAGGAUGAUCAGCCACACUGGGACUGAGAUACGGCCCAGACUCC
Molecule: ribosomal RNA, 248 nt
Filed under: uncultured bacterium
Lineage: Bacteria
Description: partial 16S ribosomal RNA
Rfam family: Bacterial small subunit ribosomal RNA
Source: RNAcentral